GAGUGGUUGAAAGCCGGUCGGGAGGGGGUGAGGAAGAAGCGAAAUCCUGGAUGAGUGGAUCUGCUUUACCCAGUAAAAGUGUGAAGUCUAAUAAGUCGUACUAACGUAGGUCGUCAGGGGAAGUCCCGAUACUGAGAAGCUUGGGGCAUAAAAGGGGAUUAGAUACCCCCUUAUACCCAGGUAUAAUAACAUGAGAUCUCUGAGUAGUAAACAGAUAUGCCCUCGAAACUCAAAGGAUUUGGCGGUACCCGAGCCCAGUUAGAGGAAUUUGUGCAGUAAACGAUAAACCCCGAGAAUCUAGCCCCACCUUGUAAUCGCUCAGUUUGUAUACCGCCAUUAUCAGGUAAUUCUGAUGGGAACUUACCAAAAGAAAGCUAUUUAGAAUAUUAGGUCAAGGUGCAGCCAAUGGUGGGGCUGUCAUGAGUUACAAUAUGAUAAGUUUAUUACGGACGGGGGGCUGAAAAUCUCCUCUGAAGGUGGAUUUAAUAGUAAGUCGGAUAGAUUAUGUCCGGUUGAUAAAGGCCCUCGGAUAUGUACACAUCGCCCGUCGUUCUCACUCU
RNAcentral lists this ribosomal RNA (560 nucleotides) under Alpheus macrocheles. Its description in RNAcentral is "partial small subunit ribosomal RNA". It matches the Rfam family "Bacterial small subunit ribosomal RNA", at positions 663 to 1409 of the family's 1533-position model. Lineage: Eukaryota; Metazoa; Arthropoda; Malacostraca; Decapoda; Alpheidae. The record is from RNAcentral.